Non-coding RNA from Streptomyces oceani, 64 nucleotides. The record is from Rfam. Lineage: Bacteria; Bacillati; Actinomycetota; Actinomycetes; Kitasatosporales; Streptomycetaceae.
GUCGGUCCUCGGUAGUGGCUUCCGGACACAGACACGGUUCCGGGUGCUUCGAUCGAAGACCGGC